UACGAAGGGGGCUAGCGUUGCUCGGAAUCACUGGGCGUAAAGGGUGCGUAGGCGGGUCUUUAAAUCAGGGGUGAAAUCCUGGAGCUCAACUCCAGAACUGCCUUUGAUACUGAGGAUCUUGAGUUCGGGAGAGGUGAGUGGAACUGCGAGUGUAGAGGUGAAAUUCGUAGAUAUUCGCAAGAACACCAGUGGCGAAGGCGGCUCACUGGCCCGAUACUGACACUGAGGCACGAAAGCGUGGGGAGCAAACAGG
Molecule: ribosomal RNA, 253 nt
Filed under: uncultured bacterium
Lineage: Bacteria
Description: partial 16S ribosomal RNA
Rfam family: Bacterial small subunit ribosomal RNA
Source: RNAcentral